This 260-nucleotide ribosomal RNA is filed under the name uncultured bacterium. Its description in RNAcentral is "partial 16S ribosomal RNA". It matches the Rfam family "Bacterial small subunit ribosomal RNA", at positions 516 to 776 of the family's 1533-position model. The record is from RNAcentral.
CGCGGUAAUACGGAGGAUGCGAGCGUUAUCCGGAUUUAUUGGGUUUAAAGGGUGCGUAGGCGGGCUUUUAAGUCAGCGGUAAAAAUUCGGGGCUCAACCCCGUCCGGCCGUUGAAACUGGGGGCCUUGAGUGCGGCGGAGGCAUGCGGAAUGCGCGGUGUAGCGGUGAAAUGCAUAGAUAUCGCGCAGAACCCCGAUUGCGAAGGCAGCGUGCCGUGCCGCCACUGACGCUGAGGCACGAAAGCGCGGGGAUCGAACAGG